This 497-nucleotide ribosomal RNA is filed under the name uncultured bacterium. Its description in RNAcentral is "partial 16S ribosomal RNA". It matches the Rfam family "Bacterial small subunit ribosomal RNA", at positions 28 to 507 of the family's 1533-position model. The record is from RNAcentral.
GAUGAACGCUGGCGGCGUGCCUAAUACAUGCAAGUAGAACGCUGAAGGAAGGAGCUUGCUCUUUCCGGAUGAGUUGCGAACGGGUGAGUAACGCGUAGGUAACCUGCCUGGUAGCGGGGGAUAACUAUUGGAAACGAUAGCUAAUACCGCAUAACAGUAGAUGUUGCAUGAUAUCUACUUAAAAGGUGCAAUUGCACCACUACCAGAUGGACCUGCGUUGUAUUAGCUAGUUGGUGAGGUAACGGCUCACCAAGGCGACGAUACAUAGCCGACCUGAGAGGGUGAGCGGCCAGACUGGGACGGAGACCCGGCCCAGACGCCUACGGGAGGGAGCAGGAGGGAAUCUUGGGGAAUGGGCGGAAGUCUGACCGAGCAAGGCCGCGGGAGGGAAGAGGGGUUUCGGGUCGUAAAGCUCUGUUGUAAGAGAAGAAAGAGGGUGAGAGUGGAAAGUUCACACUGUGACGGUAUCUGAUCAGAAAGGGACGGCUAACUACGUG